CAGGGAUUGCCCUAGUAACGGCGAGUGAAGCGGCAACAGCUCAAAUUUGAAAUCUGGCGUCUUUGGCGUCCGAGUUGUAAUUUGCAGAGGGCGCUUUGGCAUUGGCAGCGGUCCAAGUUCCUUGGAACAGGACGUCACAGAGGGUGAGAAUCCCGUACGUGGUCGCUAGCCUUUACCGUGUAAAGCCCCUUCGACGAGUCGAGUUGUUUGGGAAUGCAGCUCUAAAUGGGAGGUAAAUUUCUUCUAAAGCUAAAUACUGGCCAGAGACCGAUAGCGCACAAGUAGAGUGAUCGAAAGAUGAAAAGCACUUUGGAAAGAGAGUUAAAAAGCACGUGAAAUUGUUGAAAGGGAAGCGCUUGCAGCCAGACUUGCCUGUAGUUGCUCAUCCGGGUUUUUACCCGGUGCACUCUUCUAUAGGCAGGCCAGCAUCAGUUUGGGCGGUUGGAUAAAGGUCUCUGUCAUGUACCUCUCUUCGGGGAGAACUUAUAGGGGAGACGACAUGCAACCAGCCUGGACUGAGGUCCGCGCAUCUGCUAGGAUGCUGGCGUAAUGGCUGUAAGCGGCCCGUCUUGAAACACGGACCAAGGAGUCUAACAUCUAUGCGAGUGUUUGGGUGUCAAGCCCGAGCGCGUAAUGAAAGUGAACGGAGGUGGGAACCCCUCGGGGUGCACCAUCGACCGAUCCUGAUGUCUUCGGAUGGAUUUGAGUAAGAGCAUAGCUGUUGGGACCCGAAAGAUGGUGAACUAUGCUUGAAUAGGGUGAAGCCAGAGGAAACUCUGGUGGAGGCUCGCAGCGGUUCUGACGUGCAAAUCGAUCGUCAAAUUUGGGCAUAGGGGCGAAAGACUAAUCGA
Molecule: ribosomal RNA, 851 nt
Filed under: Juxtiphoma kolkmaniorum
Lineage: Eukaryota; Fungi; Ascomycota; Dothideomycetes; Pleosporales; Didymellaceae
Description: partial large subunit ribosomal RNA
Rfam family: Eukaryotic large subunit ribosomal RNA
Source: RNAcentral